Molecule: ribosomal RNA, 1372 nt
Filed under: uncultured bacterium
Lineage: Bacteria
Description: bacterial SSU rRNA
Rfam family: Bacterial small subunit ribosomal RNA
Source: RNAcentral
GAUGAACGCUGGCGGCGUGCCUAAUACAUGCAAGUCGAGCGAACAGACAAGGAGCUUGCUCCUUUGACGUUAGCGGCGGACGGGUGAGUAACACGUGGGUAACCUACCUAUAAGACUGGGAUAACUUCGGGAAACCGGAGCUAAUACCGGAUAAUAUUUCGAACCGCAUGGUUCGAUAGUGAAAGAUGGUUUUGCUAUCACUUAUAGAUGGACCCGCGCCGUAUUAGCUAGUUGGUAAGGUAACGGCUUACCAAGGCGACGAUACGUAGCCGACCUGAGAGGGUGAUCGGCCACACUGGAACUGAGACACGGUCCAGACUCCUACGGGAGGCAGCAGUAGGGAAUCUUCCGCAAUGGGCGAAAGCCUGACGGAGCAACGCCGCGUGAGUGAUGAAGGUCUUCGGAUCGUAAAACUCUGUUAUUAGGGAAGAACAUACAUGUAAGUAACUAUGCACGUCUUGACGGUACCUAAUCAGAAAGCCACGGCUAACUACGUGCCAGCAGCCGCGGUAAUACGUAGGUGGCAAGCGUUAUCCGGAAUUAUUGGGCGUAAAGCGCGCGUAGGCGGUUUUUUAAGUCUGAUGUGAAAGCCCACGGCUCAACCGUGGAGGGUCAUUGGAAACUGGAAAACUUGAGUGCAGAAGAGGAAAGUGGAAUUCCAUGUGUAGCGGUGAAAUGCGCAGAGAUAUGGAGGAACACCAGUGGCGAGGGCGACUUUCUGGUCUGUAACUGACGCUGAUGUGCGAAAGCGUGGGGAUCAAACAGGAUUAGAUACCCUGGUAGUCCACGCCGUAAACGAUGAGUGCUAAGUGUUAGGGGGUUUCCGCCCCUUAGUGCUGCAGCUAACGCAUUAAGCACUCCGCCUGGGGAGUACGACCGCAAGGUUGAAACUCAAAGGAAUUGACGGGGACCCGCACAAGCGGUGGAGCAUGUGGUUUAAUUCGAAGCAACGCGAAGAACCUUACCAAAUCUUGACAUCCUUUGACAACUCUAGAGAUAGAGCCUUCCCCUUCGGGGGACAAAGUGACAGGUGGUGCAUGGUUGUCGUCAGCUCGUGUCGUGAGAUGUUGGGUUAAGUCCCGCAACGAGCGCAACCCUUAAGCUUAGUUGCCAUCAUUAAGUUGGGCACUCUAAGUUGACUGCCGGUGACAAACCGGAGGAAGGUGGGGAUGACGUCAAAUCAUCAUGCCCCUUAUGAUUUGGGCUACACACGUGCUACAAUGGACAAUACAAAGGGCAGCGAAACCGCGAGGUCAAGCAAAUCCCAUAAAGUUGUUCUCAGUUCGGAUUGUAGUCUGCAACUCGACUACAUGAAGCUGGAAUCGCUAGUAAUCGUAGAUCAGCAUGCUACGGUGAAUACGUUCCCGGGUCU